This 27-nucleotide small RNA is filed under the name Bombyx mori (domestic silkworm). RNAcentral describes it as "ovarian small RNA-28198". The record is from RNAcentral. Lineage: Eukaryota; Metazoa; Arthropoda; Insecta; Lepidoptera; Bombycidae.
UCGAAGGAAAAACAUGAUGGACUUCGC